This 472-nucleotide long non-coding RNA is filed under the name Ananas comosus (pineapple). Its description in RNAcentral is "long non-coding RNA (ACOM_LNC000796)". Lineage: Eukaryota; Viridiplantae; Streptophyta; Magnoliopsida; Poales; Bromeliaceae. The record is from RNAcentral.
GAAGUCUUGGAUUCUUCGAUCUUCAAUCCUCCGCUCCGGACUUCUUCAAGACUCCGACUCGACCCACGAAACUUGCCAACACAUAGGACCUAACAUGGAGAAUGUAAAAUACCAGAUUUUGGUAUAAAAAUAAAAAUAAAUAAAAAUAGUGUGAGAAACUAUUUUUAUUGAAUUUAGGAAAGUAAAACAUAAGUCAGAAGUGACUUGUGCUGAAAUCGGAAUGAAAACAGAAAAUUUAGAAUUUUCUGUUGGAAACGGGAUAGAUAAAUUAGCAGAAAAUGCAUAGUCUCAGAAAAUUAUGAAAACUUGAGCAUAAGCCAGAAUUAUUUUUAUGAUGUUAGAUUUAAAGUUUCAUGUCAUUCUGACACUCGGAAGGUGAAAAAUAAAAUCCGAUAGUUUUCGGUGACUAAACGGGGUCGAAACUGAAAUAUUAAAAUUUCUUUGGACUCGUAAAGUAAAACCGAACAUGACU